AGAGUUUGAUCCUGGCUCAGAAUCAACGCUGGCGGCGCGCUUAACACAUGCAAGUCGCACGAGAAAGGGAGCAAUCCUAAGUAAAGUGGCGUACGGGUGAGUAACACGUGGAUCAUCUACCUUUUAGUGGGGAAUACCUCCUGGAAACGGGAGACAAUACCGCAUAAGCUCGAGAGAGGAAAGCCGAAAGGCGCUGAAAGAGGAGUCCGCGGCUGAUUAGCUAGUUGGCGGGGUAAUGGCCCACCAAGGCGAAGAUCGGUAGCCGGCCUGAGAGGGCACACGGCCACACUGGCACUGAAACACGGGCCAGACUCCUACGGGAGGCAGCAGUGGGGAAUCUUGCACAAUGGAGGAAACUCUGAUGCAGCGACGCCGCGUGAGCGAUGAAGCCCUUCGGGGUGUAAAGCUCUUUCGACGGGAACGAUAAUGACGGUACCCGAAGAAGAAGCUGCGGCUAACUACGUGCCAGCAGCCGCGGUAAUACGUAGGCAGCGAGCGUUGUUCGGAAUUACUGGGCGUAAAGAGUGUGU
Molecule: ribosomal RNA, 530 nt
Filed under: uncultured Terriglobales bacterium
Lineage: Bacteria; Pseudomonadati; Acidobacteriota; Terriglobia; Terriglobales
Description: bacterial SSU rRNA
Rfam family: Bacterial small subunit ribosomal RNA
Source: RNAcentral